This is a non-coding RNA of Tachysurus vachellii, 794 nucleotides long. NCBI's taxonomy places the organism in Eukaryota, Metazoa, Chordata, Actinopteri, Siluriformes, Bagridae. The record is from the annotation of a RefSeq genome assembly.
ACACACACACACACACACACACACACACAGUUGUGGUGUUUGCAUAUGUGUUCUGUGUCACUGCUACACACACUUUAAGAGCUGUAGUGCUGAUCAGAGUGUGUUCAGUCCUUUCAGAGCCACUGACACGCAGCACAAUGAUGAUGGUACUGAGUCUCCUGCUGGGGACACUGGGACUCCUCGCUCACCAGUCUUUUGGGGAAAUCGUCCUGACUCAGUCUCCAGGAUCUCAGUCUGUUUCUCCAGGAGAAUCUGUUACUCUCAUCUGUAGAUCCAGUGCAUAUGUUUACAAUGACAUCCACUGGUACCUGCAGAAACCUGGAGAAGCUCCUAAACUCCUGAUCUAUAAUGAUGAUUCAUGUUACACUGGGGUUCCAGAUCGUUUCAGUGGCAGUGGAUCUAACACAGAAUUUUACCUAAAAAUCUCUGGAGUUCAGGCAGAAGAUGCAGGAGAUUAUUACUGUCAGCAGAGUGAGAGCUUUCCGUACACACAGUGUUAAAGUGUCGUACAAAAACCUCCCUGAGCUGUAGAGGAAGUGCUCUGACUCAGAAACACACACUGAUCUGAGAACAGCUGCACAGCUGCUAAAGCUGCACUCCACUGAACAUCAUCAAACAUCAUGUUUCAAAAAUAAUCCUCCUUAAAAAGCAGAAAUCUCUUCAUCAGCUGUUCGUGCUGUGAUGAGAAAUCAGCUGAUGUGUGUAAUGAUAUCUGAUGAUUUCCACCUUCUGCUAAGAGGAGCAGUGUCUACUACACACUACUGUAACACACAAUGUAGUGCAGGAUCUUUCAA